Molecule: ribosomal RNA, 479 nt
Filed under: uncultured bacterium
Lineage: Bacteria
Description: bacterial SSU rRNA
Rfam family: Bacterial small subunit ribosomal RNA
Source: RNAcentral
AUUGAACGCUGGCGGUAUGCUUAACACAUGCAAGUCGAACGGUAACAGGUCUAGCUUGCUAGAUGCUGACGAGUGGCGGACGGGUGAGUAACGCGUAGGAACCUGUCUAUGAGAGUGGGACAACUCGGGGAAACUCGAGCUAAUACCGCAUACGUUCUGAGGAAGAAAGGCUGGAGUAAUCCAGUCGCUCAUAGGGGGCCUGCGUUGGAUUAGCUAGUUGGUGGGGUAAAGGCCUACCAAGGCGACGAUCCAUAGCUGUUCUGAGAGGAAGAUCAGCCACACUGGGACUGAGACACGGCCCAGACUCCUACGGGAGGCAGCAGUGGGGAAUAUUGGACAAUGGGCGCAAGCCUGAUCCAGCAAUACCGCGUGUGUGAAGAAGGCCUGAGGGUUGUAAAGCACUUUCAGCGAGGAGGAAGGUAGUGGUGGUUAAUAGUAUCACUAUUUGACGUUACUUGCAGAAGAAGCACCGGCUAACU